Molecule: transfer RNA, 76 nt
Filed under: Planctomycetota bacterium
Lineage: Bacteria; Pseudomonadati; Planctomycetota
Also listed under: 1 other name
Description: Planctomycetes bacterium (marine metagenome) tRNA-Ala
Rfam family: tRNA
About the family: Transfer RNA (tRNA) molecules are approximately 80 nucleotides in length. Their secondary structure includes four short double-helical elements and three loops (D, anti-codon, and T loops).
Source: RNAcentral
GGGCCUGUAGCUCAGCUGGGAGAGCGCUGCGUUCGCAAUGCAGAGGUCAGGGGUUCGAGCCCCCUCAGGUCCACCA